This 532-nucleotide long non-coding RNA is filed under the name Sus scrofa (pig). Its description in RNAcentral is "lncRNA (ENSSSCG00030064286.1)". The record is from RNAcentral. Lineage: Eukaryota; Metazoa; Chordata; Mammalia; Artiodactyla; Suidae.
CCUAUAAUUUAGUCACAUGAAACAGUUUAACCUCAGACAAGUCAAACGAGAGCACGAAGAAGCAGCAAAGAGCGAGCCGGGGUCAGCAGGCGAGAGGAACAGUCACCUGGCCCGGACAGGGCCCAGCGACCCAGGCCCUUUAUUCCCGUCCCUCCGGGCCGUGCGCGGCCCCCACCCCGGCCCGGGGCUCCCACGCCGCCCCCCUCGGCCCGCCCCACGCCCGUGCCCAGGACUGGGGGUCACAACAGCGGGCAGACGCCGCGCGCGGGCAAGUUGGAGACUUACCUCCCCCGGAUGCGCUAGACCAUCAAUGGAGCCACUGAAGACGCGGCUUCGUAUUCCUGGGGGGACAUAGAGUGGAUUUGAACGAUUUGCUCAGACAGACUCUUUCGAAAUUGAAAAAUAAGUAUAUGGCAAAAGAUUAAGAAAGAGAAAAAAGAAAUUGGGAAAUUGCACUGCUUAUUUGAAAUGAAUUGUAAAGAUGAAAUGCCUGAAAAGUCUCGUCGAGGAAUAAAGAAAGGAUACAGACACA